CAGUUGUUUGCAUUGCUUAGGAGGAAGCUGAGAGAAGAUCCUGCAGCUAGGACAUGCUGAAGUUACAGGGGACUCUGGGCCAGAGCAGAGUGCACAGGGGUGCUGGGUACUGGGCUGUGGCAUCCAGUCUCCAAGGCCUGUGGAUCCCCCUGGAGAUGCCAAAGGUCUGCAGCUCUGUCCAAGGAGGGUGUGGGACUCCAGAGGGGGCCGCCUAGCUCCUGCAGGGGUGUGGGAAGAUGCAGGGUCCUGCAGGAGUGUGGGAUGCUAUUUGGACUUCACAGAAUGUGGGUAGCUUUAACCAUGAGCCUAGGGUGAGAGGGAAGGAGGAGCCAGAUGUUGGACCCCAGAGUGGCAGCUCCUCUCCUGAUCCCUGGGACACACCAAGUCUUGUAAAUUGCCGUUUGGAAUCUUUGCCUGAGGUUUUCCUGUGGCAGGGAAUGUUCAAUCUUUUGAACCAGCAAGGAUCAGGACAUAAAUUGCUGAAAAUCUAUACCUAAAUUUUAAAGAAAUAUUUCUACAUUUUGAGUCUCUUUUUUU
Molecule: long non-coding RNA, 537 nt
Filed under: Marmota monax (woodchuck)
Lineage: Eukaryota; Metazoa; Chordata; Mammalia; Rodentia; Sciuridae
Source: RNAcentral